GCAGGGCGUGGUGGCGCAUGCCUGUAAUCUCAGUGGCUCUGGAGGCUGAGGCAGGAGGAUCCUGAGCCUCAGCAACAGGGAGGCACUGAGCAACUCAGUGAGACCCUGCCUCUA
This 114-nucleotide small RNA is filed under the name Marmota monax (woodchuck). The record is from RNAcentral. Lineage: Eukaryota; Metazoa; Chordata; Mammalia; Rodentia; Sciuridae.